Sebastes umbrosus (honeycomb rockfish) is the source of this 595-nucleotide long non-coding RNA. RefSeq lists it as uncharacterized. The transcript is spliced from 2 exons. NCBI's taxonomy places the organism in Eukaryota, Metazoa, Chordata, Actinopteri, Perciformes, Sebastidae. The record is from RefSeq and is a predicted model, not a curated record.
CUGAACAGGGUCUAUGGUCCAGGUCUAGAACAGGGUCUAUGGUCCAGGUCUGAACGGGGCCUCUAUGGUCCAGGUCAGAACAGGGCCUACGGUCCAGGUCUGAACGGGGCCUAUGGUCCAGGUCUGAACAGGGCAUAUGGUCCAGGUCCAGGUCUGAACAGGGCCUAUGGUCCAGGUCUGAACAGGGCCUAUGGUCCAGGUCUGAGGACAUUUACAUGCCAAUACACACACAUAGCUCCGCCCCUAAACUUUAGCCCCGCCUCUUCCAUAACUCAGGACCCGUUAGUCGUAGACGGACUCGUCAUCAUUGCAGUCAGCAGAGUUCCUGUUUCUUUGUGCCUGGCUGCAUGGAUUAUGGGUUUAUUUAGUAACAUGAUGGUGGUGGGAGGGGCUACUCUUUGGUUUACCAUUAUUGAUUAUUGAUUAUAUCUUUAAUGUGAAGUUUCUGUGUAUUUGAACAGCAGGUUCAAACAUUGAUUUGUUUAUUCAUGUAAAGUGUUAAAGAAAUUUUAUUUCACAUCAUCUGUUCACUGUAAUUCAUCAUUAGAAAUGAGAUUAAAGCUUCAACUGGAAAAUUAAAGUGUCUCAUGAAGCA